AUUGAACGCUGGCGGCAGGCCUAACACAUGCAAGUCGAACGGUAACAGGAAGAAGCUUGCUUCUUUGCUGACGAGUGGCGGACGGGUGAGAAAUGUCUGGGAAACUGCCUGAUGGAGGGGGAUAACUACUGGAAACGGUAGCUAAUACCGCAUAACGUCGCAAGACCAAAGAGGGGGACCUUCGGGCCUCUUGCCAUCGGAUGUGCCCAGAUGGGAUUAGCUAGUAGGUGGGGUAACGGCUCACCUAGGCGACGAUCCCUAGCUGGUCUGAGAGGAUGACCAGCCACACUGGAACUGAGACACGGUCCAGACUCCUACGGGAGGCAGCAGUGGGGAAUAUUGCACAAUGGGCGAAAGCCUGAUGCAGCCAUGCCGCGUGUAUGAAGAAGGCCUUCGGGUUGUAAAGUACUUUCAGCGGGGAGGAAGGGAGUAAAGUUAAUACCUUUACUCAUUGACGUUACCCGCAGAAGAAGCACCGGCUAACUCCGUG
This 490-nucleotide ribosomal RNA is filed under the name uncultured bacterium. RNAcentral describes it as "partial 16S ribosomal RNA". It matches the Rfam family "Bacterial small subunit ribosomal RNA", at positions 30 to 507 of the family's 1533-position model. The record is from RNAcentral.